This 467-nucleotide ribosomal RNA is filed under the name uncultured bacterium. RNAcentral describes it as "partial 16S ribosomal RNA". It matches the Rfam family "Bacterial small subunit ribosomal RNA", at positions 29 to 507 of the family's 1533-position model. The record is from RNAcentral.
ACGCACGCUGGCGGCGUGCUUCACACAUGCAAGUCGCACGGAAAGGCCCUGCUUUUGUGGGGUGCUCGAGUGGCGAACGGGUGAGUAACACGUGAGUAACCUGCCCUUGACUUUGGGAUAACUUCAGGAAACUGGGGCUAAUACCGGAUAGGAGCUCCUGCUGCAUGGUGGGGGUUGGAAAGUUUCGGCGGUUGGGGAUGGACUCGCGGCUUAUCAGCUUGUUGGUGGGGUAGUGGCUUACCAAGGCUUUGACGGGUAGCCGGCCUGAGAGGGUGACCGGCCACAUUGGGACUGAGAUACGGCCCAGACUCCUACGGGAGGCAGCAGUGGGGAAUAUUGCGCAAUGGGCGGAAGCCUGAUGCAGCAACGCCGCGUGCGGGAUGACGGCCUUCGGGUUGUAAACCGCUUUCGCCUGUGACGAAGCGUGAGUGACGGUAAUGGGUAAAGAAGCACCGGCUAACUACGUG